Molecule: long non-coding RNA, 2723 nt
Filed under: Homo sapiens (human)
Lineage: Eukaryota; Metazoa; Chordata; Mammalia; Primates; Hominidae
Description: non-protein coding lnc-MRPL33-1:2
Source: RNAcentral
UUAACUUUUAAAUUGUGUUUAUUUAAGAAAAAUAUUAUGUAAAUAAUAGUAUGGUGGUAUGCCACAAGGCAGAAAGCCUGAAACAGAUAUACCAAUGACAAGUUCAAGGAACUGUGGUGAGGUGGGAAAAUGUAACAAAACUCAUUAGUCACAAACCUCACUUCAAGUCUGGCUCUGUCACACUUAAGUCAUGUAACCCUGAUUAAACUGCUGACCUUAAAUGAGGCUGUUUCCUCAUCUGUGAAGUUGAAAAAGAACUCCUACCCUCCUAAACUCACAUUAAAAUAUGUAGAAACAUGCUGAAGCCCGGAACACACCGUGCAAAUAGCCCGUGGGGCUGAUAUCCCAAUUUCCUCUUUUACCAAGGUCUAUCCAGGGCUUCCUCUUCACCACCCCAGGAAGUGCCUCACAACUAGCCCCUAUUUCCCAGGAUCCCAAGGACCAAGUUCUAUUCAGUUUGUUGUCCACACCUGGGUCUGCCAUUCUGAGGGUGGGGAGGUGGGAGGGGCUGGAGAAAUCCUGGAAUCAGUCUGGGAACAAGUCCCAACACAUGUCACUGUUUGCUUUGAGAAAGAGUCUCGCUCUGUUGCCCAGGAUUGAGUGCAGUGGAGUGAUUUUGGCUCACUGCAAUCUCCACCUCCUGGUUCAAGGGAUUCUCAUGCCUCAGCCUCCCGAGUAGCUGGGAUUACAGGCGCCCGCCACCAUGCCUGGCUAAUUUUUGUAUUUUUAGUAGAGACAGGGUUUCACCAUGUUGGCCAGACUGGUCUUAAACUCCUGACCUCAGGUGAUCUGCUUGCCUUGGCCUCCCAAAGUGCUGGGAUUACAGGUGUGAGCCACUGUAUCUGGCCUAGGACAGCUCUUGAAUGGAUUCUUAGCCUGGCCCCUCAUGGGACAUUCAACUGGGGUUGACAGAAGCUUCAUUGACCCCAGGGUCAGAGAGUGUAAUCGUCCUCACGGACUUAUACAUAUAAUGCAUACUUUUUGAGCACCUACUAUGUACCAGGCCUUUUGGGGAAAUGAGCCAGCCAUGUUGUAUCAAAAGGCUAGAUAGGACCUUAGAGUCACCUUUUUACCACCAGGAGUCCUUGUGUCAUCCUUAGAGACCGAGACGUAGGGAGCAGUGAGUCGGUUUGGGAUGAGACUGGCAGGAGCAGGCAGAUACAGUAUUCGACCUCGGAGCUGGGCUUUUAGCCUGGGGUCCUGGCGCCCCUAGAGUGUCAGGAGGUGAGGGCCUGAAGCUACAGGCAGAAUCCCAGUGUCUGUGUGGGCCGUGGGCUUGCUCUGGACACUCUGGGGACAGGAUGCAAGGCCGUCAUCAGAUUCUCAAAGGGGCCCGUGUCCAGAAAAAAAACGUGUUAAACCUCCGAUAUGGAAGCAUCUGCAGUGGGGCCAGGCGUCAGCUAGCUGUGGGAUCACGGGCAAGUCUUGGAGGUGCCUCUUCCAGCUUCAAAUCUCUGUGUACUUUGGGGAGGCAGGGGGUUUGCUUCCCAGGUGCAGGCUUGCACCUGCCUCUUUCUGGAUUGCAUCAGAGCUGCUCAGGACUCAUUUCCCCACCCCCACAGGCGCCUACAGCUCCCUCCCCCUCCCAUAACUUAUUAGCUACAGAUAACAUCCCUUUGUUCUCCCAGUGACUCCACACCCACAGAAGGAGAGGGGGAUGAAGAAAUCUGCCAGGAGGGUGCCUCCCGCCAGUAUCUGAUGAAGAGCUCUCCUUUGGAGUAAUAUGUUGUCUGUGCCAAGGAUGGAAUGAAAACAGAGUAUGAUGGCUCAUCUUGACUUUUUCCUUACUUACAAAUGGAGAGCCCCAAAGUCCAAAUCCUUGGACCAGCUAUCCCCCAACUUCCUCCUUAGGGGCAGAAGGUGGAUUAGGAUUCCUGGACUGCUCCAGCAUGGGCCCCUCUCCCUCCCCACAGUCAGCACCUGUCCCAUCUCAGCCUGAAAUUGGCCUGCUUUCCUCCAAGACUUGGAUCGAAAGACUCUUCUGCACAUGUUCAAAAUGUAUUUCAACUCCUUAGAGUCUCCUAAGCCUCCCAUUGCCAAGCCCCUGUGACUUCACAGACACUGAGCACUCAUCUCUGGUGCUGUCUUCUACCCAAAGAGUGGCCACAUCUGAACAUGCUGGUCCUUUAGCUCUCUGUUGUGCAGGAGUGAGGAGACACGGGCUGUAGUCUCAGCAUGCUGAUGCAGUCUAGCUGUGGGCCGAACAAUGACUCUCAAGGCACACGGAACAUCAGGAGCACCGGUGAGCGUUAUAAAGUGCCCCUAGCCGCCCCCAUUCUCCACCCACUGAAUCAUGUUAUCUGGCCAUGGGCACCCCACGUGAUUCUUACGGGUAUCAGGUUUGAAAAUAUCAGAGUUUUAGGAGGACUAAAAUCCUCCCAGGUUCCUGUGACAUCGCAACGGAAAAAGCCUUAGGAAUGAUCUAGACGAUCAUCAUCUGAGAUUGUGGGCUCCUCCGAAGUUACCACACAAGUCCCAGAUCAGAAACUGAGGCGGGGGCUUGCUCAGUGUCGCGUGGCUGGCAAUCCGCGGCGGCCUCCGGCGCAUGCGCAGUUCUUCUCUGCACGGCGGCCUUGCAGCCCCGCUUCCACCCACCGCAGGAAUGCCUCUCCUUGACCGAGACACAAACCUUUUCCUCCUCCAGCCGACAGUUUCAGCCCAUUACCUCUAAAACUGCACACCCUCACAGGUGGUGGACUCCCACAAAUGCCACCCUCUCCCCA